Molecule: transfer RNA, 73 nt
Filed under: Candidatus Woesearchaeota archaeon
Lineage: Archaea; Nanobdellati; Candidatus Woesearchaeota
Description: tRNA-Asn
Rfam family: tRNA
About the family: Transfer RNA (tRNA) molecules are approximately 80 nucleotides in length. Their secondary structure includes four short double-helical elements and three loops (D, anti-codon, and T loops).
Source: RNAcentral
GCCCUCGUAGCUUAGUAGGUAAAGCGUAUGGCUGUUAACCAUAAGAUCACCAGUUCGAGUCUGGUCGAGGGCG